This is a non-coding RNA of Pangasianodon gigas (Mekong giant catfish), 74 nucleotides long. The record is from the annotation of a GenBank genome assembly. NCBI's taxonomy places the organism in Eukaryota, Metazoa, Chordata, Actinopteri, Siluriformes, Pangasiidae.
UGUAGUGAUAGCUCAGUGGUAGCGACAUUGGACUACUGAUUGGAACGUCGUGAGUUCAAAUCUCAGCACUGCCA